This 24-nucleotide unclassified non-coding RNA is filed under the name Mus musculus (house mouse). Its description in RNAcentral is "oocyte_clustered_small_RNA4219". The record is from RNAcentral. Lineage: Eukaryota; Metazoa; Chordata; Mammalia; Rodentia; Muridae.
UGGCAGCAUCUGAUUAGAACUUUG